This 253-nucleotide ribosomal RNA is filed under the name uncultured bacterium. RNAcentral's name for it is "partial 16S ribosomal RNA". It matches the Rfam family "Bacterial small subunit ribosomal RNA", at positions 524 to 776 of the family's 1533-position model. The record is from RNAcentral.
UACGAAGGGGGCUAGCGUUGUUCGGAUUCAUUGGGCGUAAAGGGAGCGUAGGUGGCGUCGUAAGUCAGGUGUGAAAUCUCGGGGCUCAACCCCGAAACUGCACUUGAUACUGCGAUGCUUGAGUACUGGAGAGGAGAUUGGAAUUUACGGUGUAGCAGUGAAAUGCGUAGAUAUCGUAAGGAAGACCAGUGGCGAAGGCGAAUCUCUGGACAGUUACUGACACUGAGGCUCGAAGGCCAGGGGAGCAAACGGG